GUACACACCGCCCGUCGCUACUACCGAUUGAAUGUUUUAGUGAGAUCUUCGGCUUGGUUUUCCGAGCGGCUUUGGGUCGUUCGGUAUAUAUCGAAAAGAUGCUCAAACGGAUCAUUUAGAGGAAGUAAAAGUCGUAACAAGGUAUCGUAGGUGAACCUGAAGAAGGAUCA
This 170-nucleotide ribosomal RNA is filed under the name uncultured eukaryote. Its description in RNAcentral is "partial small subunit ribosomal RNA". It matches the Rfam family "Eukaryotic small subunit ribosomal RNA", at positions 1662 to 1828 of the family's 1831-position model. The record is from RNAcentral.